GAAGGGGGCUAGCGUUGUUCGGAAUUACUGGGCGUAAAGGGCGCGUAGGCGGCCUUGUUAGUCGAGUGUGAAAGCCCUGGGCUUAACCCGGGAAGCGCGCUUGAUACUGCAGGGCUUGAGUGUGGGAGAGGAUGGUGGAAUUCCCAGUGUAGAGGUGAAAUUCGUAGAUAUUGGGAAGAACACCGGUGGCGAAGGCGACCAUCUGGACCACAACUGACGCUGAGGCGCGAAAGCGUGGGGAGCAAACAGGAUUAGAUACCCUGGUAGUCCACGCCGUAAACGAUGUGCGCUAGACGCUGGAGGACCUAGUCUUCCGGUGUCGCAGCUAACGCUUUAAGCGCACCGCCUGGGGAGUACGGCCGCAAGGUUAAA
RNAcentral lists this ribosomal RNA (372 nucleotides) under uncultured bacterium. RNAcentral describes it as "bacterial SSU rRNA". It matches the Rfam family "Bacterial small subunit ribosomal RNA", at positions 527 to 898 of the family's 1533-position model. The record is from RNAcentral.